UUAGGAAUCUUCCACAAUGGGCGAAAGCCUGAUGGAGCGACGCCGCGUGAGGGAUGAAGGCCUUAGGGUUGUAAACCUCUAAAAGAGGGACGAUAAUGACGGUACCUCUUGAAUAGCACCGGCUAACUCCGUGCCAGCAGCCGCGGUAAUACGGAGGGUGCAAGCGUUAUCUGGAAUCACUGGGCGUAAAGGGCGCGUAGGCGGUCUGUUAAGUCCGAUGUUAAAUCCCGGGGCUCAACCCCGGAUAAGCGUUGGAUACUGGCAGGCUAGACGGUUGGAGAGGCGAGUGGAAUUACCAGUGUAGCGGUGGAAUGCGUAGAUACUGGUAGGAACACCCAUUGCGAAGGCAGCUCGCUGGACAACACGUGACGCUGAGGCGCGAAAGUGUGGGGAGCAAACC
This 400-nucleotide ribosomal RNA is filed under the name uncultured bacterium. RNAcentral describes it as "bacterial SSU rRNA". It matches the Rfam family "Bacterial small subunit ribosomal RNA", at positions 355 to 774 of the family's 1533-position model. The record is from RNAcentral.